RNAcentral lists this ribosomal RNA (464 nucleotides) under uncultured bacterium. RNAcentral's name for it is "partial 16S ribosomal RNA". It matches the Rfam family "Bacterial small subunit ribosomal RNA", at positions 28 to 507 of the family's 1533-position model. The record is from RNAcentral.
GACGAACGCUGGCGGCGUGCUUAACACAUGCAAGUCGAACGGUAAGGCCCCAGCUUGCUGGGGUACACGAGUGGCGAACGGGUGAGUAACACGUGGGUGACCUGCCCCGCACUUCGGGAUAAGCCUGGGAAACUGGGUCUAAUACCGGAUAGGACCGCACCGUGGGGGUGGGGUGGAAAGUUUUUCGGUGUGGGAUGGGCCCGCGGCCUAUCAGCUUGUUGGUGGGGUAAUGGCCUACCAAGGCGGCGACGGGUAGCCGGCCUGAGAGGGUGGACGGCCACAUUGGGACUGAGACACGGCCCAGACUCCUACGGGAGGCAGCAGUGGGGAAUAUUGCACAAUGGGCGGAAGCCUGAUGCAGCGACGCCGCGUGGGGGAUGACGGCCUUCGGGUUGUAAACUCCUUUCACCAUCGACGAAGGUUUUCUGACGGUAGACGGAGAAGAAGCACCGGCUAACUACGUG